CACAUGCAAGUCGAGGGGCAGCAUUUUAGUUUGCUUGCAAACUAAAGAUGGCGACCGGCGCACGGGUGAGUAACACGUAUCCAACCUGCCGAUAACUCGGGGAUAGCCUUUCGAAAGAAAGAUUAAUAUCCGAUAGUAUAUUAAAACCGCAUGGUUUUACUAUUAAAGAAUUUCGGUUAUCGAUGGGGAUGCGUUCCAUUAGUUUGUUGGCGGGGUAACGGCCCACCAAGACUACGAUGGAUAGGGGUUCUGAGAGGAAGGUCCCCCACAUUGGAACUGAGACACGGUCCAAACUCCUACGGGAGGCAGCAGUGAGGAAUAUUGGUCAAUGGACGAGAGUCUGAACCAGCCAAGUAGCGUGAAGGAUGACUGCCCUAUGGGUUGUAAACUUCUUUUAUAUGGGAAUAAAGUUUUCCACGUGUGGAAUUUUGUAUGUACCAUAUGAAUAAGGAUCGGCUAACUCCGUGCCAGCAGCCGCGGUAAUACGGAGGAUCCGAGCGUUAUCCGGAUUUAUUGGGUUUAAAGGGAGCGUAGGUGGAUUGUUAAGUCAGUUGUGAAAGUUUGCGGCUCAACCGUAAAAUUGCAGUUGAAACUGGCAGUCUUGAGUACAGUAGAGGUGGGCGGAAUUCGUGGUGUAGCGGUGAAAUGCUUAGAUAUCACGAAGAACUCCGAUUGCGAAGGCAGCUCACUAGACUGCAACUGACACUGAUGCUCGAAAGUGUGGGUAUCAAACAGGAUUAGAUACCCUGGUAGUCCACACAGUAAACGAUGAAUACUCGCUGUUU
Molecule: ribosomal RNA, 785 nt
Filed under: uncultured bacterium
Lineage: Bacteria
Description: bacterial SSU rRNA
Rfam family: Bacterial small subunit ribosomal RNA
Source: RNAcentral